UUCCGGUUGAUCCCGCCGGAAGCCACUGCUAUGGGGGUCCGACUAAGCCAUGCGAGUCAUGGGGUGCCUUGUGCGCACCGGCGGACGGCUCAGUAACACGUCGGUAACCUACCCUCGGGAGGGGGAUAACCCCGGGAAACUGGGGCUAAUCCCCCAUAGGUCUGAGGUAUUGGAAGGUCCUCAGGCCGAAAGGGGCUUCGGCUCGCCCGAGGAUGGGCCGGCGGCCGAUUAGGUAGUUGGUGGGGUAACGGCCCACCAAGCCGAAGAUCGGUACGGGCCAUGAGAGUGGGAGCCCGGAGAUGGACACUGAGACACGGGUCCAGGCCCUACGGGGCGCAGCAGGCGCGAAACCUCCGCAAUGCUCGAAAGAGCGACGGGGGGACCCCCAGUGCCGUGGCAUCGCCACGGCUUUUCCGGAGUGUAAAGAGCUCCGGGAAUAAGGGCUGGGCAAGGCCGGUGGCAGCCGCCGCGGUAAUACCGGCGGCCCGAGUGGUGGCCGCUAUUAUUGGGCCUAAAGCGUCCGUAGCCGGGCCUGUAAGUCCCUGGCGAAAUCCCACGGCUCAACCGUGGGGCUUGCUGGGGAUACUGCAGGCCUUGGGACCGGGAGAGGCGGAGGGUACUCCUGGGGUAGGGGUGAAAUCCUAUAAUCCCAGGAGGACCGCCAGUGGCGAAGGCGCUCCGCUAGAACGGGUCCGACGGUGAGGGACGAAGGCCAGGGGAGCGAACCGGAUUAGAUACCCGGGUAGUCCUGGCUGUAAAGGAUGCGGGCUAGGUGUCGGGUGAGCUUCGUGCUCGCCCGGUGCCGAAGGGAAGCCGUUAAGCCCGCCGCCUGGGGAGUACGGCCGCAAGGCUGAAACUUAAAGGAAUUGGCGGGGGAGCACUACAAGGGGUGGAGCGUGCGGUUUAAUUGGAUUCAACGCCGGG
This 924-nucleotide ribosomal RNA is filed under the name uncultured archaeon. RNAcentral's name for it is "bacterial SSU rRNA". It matches the Rfam family "Archaeal small subunit ribosomal RNA", at positions 1 to 922 of the family's 1478-position model. The record is from RNAcentral.